Molecule: transfer RNA, 86 nt
Filed under: Phycisphaerae bacterium
Lineage: Bacteria; Pseudomonadati; Planctomycetota; Phycisphaerae
Description: tRNA-Leu
Rfam family: tRNA
About the family: Transfer RNA (tRNA) molecules are approximately 80 nucleotides in length. Their secondary structure includes four short double-helical elements and three loops (D, anti-codon, and T loops). Further hydrogen bonds mediate the characteristic L-shaped molecular structure. tRNAs have two regions of fundamental functional importance: the anti-codon, which is responsible for specific mRNA codon recognition, and the 3' end, to which the tRNAs corresponding amino acid is attached (by aminoacyl-tRNA synthetases). tRNAs cope with the degeneracy of the genetic code in two manners: having more than one tRNA (with a specific anti-codon) for a particular amino acid; and 'wobble' base-pairing, i.e. permitting non-standard base-pairing at the 3rd anti-codon position.
Source: RNAcentral
GCCCGGGUGGCGGAAUUGGCAGACGCGCCAGGUUGAGGGCCUGGUGAGGUUUAUACCUCAUGCUGGUUCAAAUCCAGUCCCGGGCA